RNAcentral lists this ribosomal RNA (307 nucleotides) under Kocuria sp. Its description in RNAcentral is "bacterial SSU rRNA". It matches the Rfam family "Bacterial small subunit ribosomal RNA", at positions 565 to 869 of the family's 1533-position model. Lineage: Bacteria; Bacillati; Actinomycetota; Actinomycetes; Micrococcales; Micrococcaceae. The record is from RNAcentral.
GAGCUCGUAGGCGGUUUGUCGCGUCUGCUGUGAAAGCCCGGGGCUUAACCCCGGGUGUGCAGUGGGUACGGGCAGACUUGAGUGCAGUAGGGGAGACUGGAAUUCCUGGUGUAGCGGUGAAAUGCGCAGAUAUCAGGAGGAACACCGAUGGCGAAGGCAGGUCUCUGGGCUGUUACUGACGCUGAGGAGCGAAAGCAUGGGGAGCGAACAGGAUUAGAUACCCUGGUAGUCCAUGCCGUAAACGUUGGGCACUAGGUGUGGGGAACAUUCCACGUUUUCCGCGCCGUAGCUAACGCAUUAAGUGCCC